UACGAAGGGGGCUAGCGUUGUUCGGAAUUACUGGGCGUAAAGGGCGCGUAGGCGGCGUGUCAAGUCAGGCGUGAAAGCCCCGGGCUCAACUCGGGAACUGCUUCUGAUACUGGCGGACUUGAGGCCAGUAGGGGUCACUAGAACUGACGGUGGAGCGGUGAAAUGCGUAGAUAUCGUCAGGAAUGCCGGUGGUGAAGACGGGUGACUGGGCUGGUUCUGACACUGAGGCACGAAAGCGUGGGGAGCGAACGGG
RNAcentral lists this ribosomal RNA (253 nucleotides) under uncultured bacterium. RNAcentral's name for it is "partial 16S ribosomal RNA". It matches the Rfam family "Bacterial small subunit ribosomal RNA", at positions 524 to 776 of the family's 1533-position model. The record is from RNAcentral.